UACAUGCAAGUCGAGCGGACCGACCGGGAGCUUGCUCCCUUAGGCCAGCGGCGGACGGGUGAGUAACACGUGGGUAACCUGCCUGUAAGACUGGGAUAACUCCGGGAAACCGGGGCUAAUACCGGAUGCUUGAUUGAGCCGCAUGGUUCAAUUAUAAAAAGGUGGCUUUCAGCUACCACUUACAGAUGGACCCGCGGCGCAUUAGCUAGUUGGCGAGGUAACGGCUCACCAAGGCGACGAUGCGUAGCCGACCUGAGAGGGUGAUCGGCCACACUGGGACUGAGACACGGCCCAGACUCCUACGGGAGGCAGCAGUAGGGAAUCUUCCGCAAUGGAACGAAAGUCUGACGGAGCAACGCCGCGUGAGUGAUGAAGGUUUUCGGAUUGUAAACUUCUUUGAUUGGGGACGAUAAUGACGGUACCCAAAAAACAAGCCACGGCUAACUACGUGCCAGCAGCCGC
RNAcentral lists this ribosomal RNA (462 nucleotides) under uncultured bacterium. RNAcentral's name for it is "bacterial SSU rRNA". It matches the Rfam family "Bacterial small subunit ribosomal RNA", at positions 52 to 518 of the family's 1533-position model. The record is from RNAcentral.